This 275-nucleotide long non-coding RNA is filed under the name Rosa chinensis. RNAcentral describes it as "sRNA RchiOBHm_Chr5g0021901". The record is from RNAcentral. Lineage: Eukaryota; Viridiplantae; Streptophyta; Magnoliopsida; Rosales; Rosaceae.
UAGAUUUCAGCCUAGAUAUCCUUUGAUUUUCGAAAUCCCCAAAUCUUUCGAAAACCUAGAUUAGUUGCUUGGUUGAAGCGGUUGUUCAGAGGCUUAUAUGGUGUUCAGCUGGUGGUUCAGAGCACAACGAAUUAGGCCAAGAUGGUGGGAAACGAAUGGGUCUGAACUUUGAUAGAGUGAAGAACUGCUGCACUGAGUUUGGGAGGUUCAAACUCUUCUACAACAACCGCUACUUGAAGAUUUGGAUGCUGCAGACCUCCAAUUCAAAGAUAUAG